RNAcentral lists this microRNA (20 nucleotides) under Homo sapiens (human). RNAcentral's name for it is "hsa-miR-6086". Lineage: Eukaryota; Metazoa; Chordata; Mammalia; Primates; Hominidae. The record is from miRBase by way of RNAcentral.
GGAGGUUGGGAAGGGCAGAG